RNAcentral lists this ribosomal RNA (460 nucleotides) under uncultured bacterium. RNAcentral describes it as "partial 16S ribosomal RNA". It matches the Rfam family "Bacterial small subunit ribosomal RNA", at positions 338 to 795 of the family's 1533-position model. The record is from RNAcentral.
CCUACGGGAGGCUGCAGUGAGGAAUAUUGGUCAAUGGGCGCUAGCCUGAACCAGCCAAGUAGCGUGAAGGAUGACUGCCCUAUGGGUUGUAAACUUCUUUUAUAUGGGAGUAAAGUGCAGUAUGUAUACCGCUUUGCAUGUACCUUAUGAAUAAGGAUCGGCUAACUCCGUGCCAGCAGCCGCGGUAAUACGGAGGAUCCGAGCGUUAUCCGGAUUUAUUGGGUUUAAAGGGAGCGUAGGCGGUUUGUUAAGUCAGUUGUGAAAGUGUUCGGCUCAACCGUAAAAUUGCAUUUGAUACUGGCAUCCUUGAGUACAGUAGAGGUAGGCGGAAGUCGAGGUGUAGCGGUGAAAUGCUUAGAUAUAACGAAGAACACCGAUGGCGAAGGCAGCCUGCUGGACUGUAACUGACGCUGAUGCUCGAAAGUGUGGGUAGCAAACAGGAUUAGAUACCCUGGUAGUC